Cavia porcellus (domestic guinea pig) is the source of this 401-nucleotide long non-coding RNA. RefSeq lists it as uncharacterized. The transcript has 3 exons. The record is from RefSeq and is a predicted model, not a curated record. NCBI's taxonomy places the organism in Eukaryota, Metazoa, Chordata, Mammalia, Rodentia, Caviidae.
CAAUGCAUCCAAAAUCACUUCUGUGUUAGUUGGCUGUCCUGCUGCUGGGAUAAGAUAGUAAAAUACCUGACACCAGCACCUUAAAGGAGACCAAUAACAAACUGAGGAGGUCAGCAUCUCCCCUCCAGUCACCUCACCACCAGGGACUUAAUCCAGGUGACAUCAGGAUUACCUGGCUCACAGUCAUACGGAAGACCACUUUGAACACACCAAUCUGGGGAUGGGCAUCAGGCAAGCUGAUGAGCACAAGUGUAUCGUAACCUGCUCUGACCCAUGCACAGCGUGGCAACACCUUGGAGUGAGCACGGUUUCAGCACGAACGCUUUGAAGCAAGAGCACUGGUGUUUCGAGGCAUAGAAAUUUCACUUAAAAUGAUUUACUUGCAGCUGAGGACAGCCCAC